RNAcentral lists this ribosomal RNA (576 nucleotides) under uncultured Streptomyces sp. RNAcentral's name for it is "bacterial SSU rRNA". It matches the Rfam family "Bacterial small subunit ribosomal RNA", at positions 143 to 732 of the family's 1533-position model. Lineage: Bacteria; Bacillati; Actinomycetota; Actinomycetes; Kitasatosporales; Streptomycetaceae. The record is from RNAcentral.
ACAAGCCCUGGAAACGGGGUCUAAUACCGGAUACGACUACCGACCGCAUGGUCUGGUGGUGGAAAGCUCCGGCGGUGCAGGAUGAGCCCGCGGCCUAUCAGCUUGUUGGUGGGGUGAUGGCCUACCAAGGCGACGACGGGUAGCCGGCCUGAGAGGGCGACCGGCCACACCGGGACUGAGACACGGCCCAGACUCCUACGGGAGGCAGCAGUGGGGAAUAUUGCACAAUGGGCGAAAGCCUGAUGCAGCGACGCCGCGUGAGGGAUGACGGCCUUCGGGUUGUAAACCUCUUUCAGCAGGGAAGAAGCGAAAGUGACGGUACCUGCAGAAGAAGUACCGGCUAACUACGUGCCAGCAGCCGCGGUAAUACGUAGGGUGCGAGCGUUGUCCGGAAUUAUUGGGCGUAAAGAGCUCGUAGGCGGCUUGUCACGUCGGAUGUGAAAGCCCGGGGCUUAACCCCGGGUCUGCAUUCGAUACGGGCAGGCUAGAGUUCGGUAGGGGAGAUCGGAAUUCCUGGUGUAGCGCUGAAAUGCCSYGUUMCAGGAGGAACACCGGUGGSGAAAGGCGGAUCUNUGG